Thamnophis elegans (Western terrestrial garter snake) is the source of this 385-nucleotide long non-coding RNA. RefSeq lists it as uncharacterized. The record is from RefSeq and is a predicted model, not a curated record. NCBI's taxonomy places the organism in Eukaryota, Metazoa, Chordata, Lepidosauria, Squamata, Natricidae. The transcript has 3 exons.
ACAGUUCAGCAGUUGGAGCAGAAAACUAGUGGCAGUCAGAAUAACACCACCAUCUGAGGAUGACCCAUUGAAUUUCCGGCUUAUCUUGGGCUGAAAAUUGUAAACUAUGUCGCGGUACAUGUGCCAGAGCAGCAGAAACAGGAGGCUGCACCGCAGUAGGCGAUUAAAACAAAGGAGAAGAACUGGUAGAAGACAAAGGAGGCUGUAUAAAAAAGGUGUGCGGCAGUCUCAUUACCGGAGGAGCUCCUUCUCAGCCUAGCCAUCUUCAGCUCGUGAAACAGGACAACUUCAAUCCCCAAAGCAACAUGUCAGGAGAUGAGGAUUGUGAUAUCUGACCCACCAAGUUUCUGCAACCAUUCAUGCUGAACAAUAAACCUUUUGAGCA